This 468-nucleotide ribosomal RNA is filed under the name uncultured bacterium. Its description in RNAcentral is "partial 16S ribosomal RNA". It matches the Rfam family "Bacterial small subunit ribosomal RNA", at positions 28 to 507 of the family's 1533-position model. The record is from RNAcentral.
GACGAACGCUGGCGGCGUGCUUAACACAUGCAAGUCGAACGGAAAGGCCCUGCUUUUGUGGGGUGCUCGAGUGGCGAACGGGUGAGUAACACGUGAGUAACCUGCCCCUGACUUUGGGAUAACUUCAGGAAACUGGGGCUAAUACCGGAUAGGAGCUCCUGCUGCUUGGUGGGGGUUGGAAAGUUUCGGCGGUUGGGGAUGGACUCGCGGCUUAUCAGCUUGUUGGUGGGGUAGUGGCUUACCAAGGCUUUGACGGGUAGCCGGCCUGAGGGGGUGACCGGCCACAUUGGGACUGGGAUACGGCCCGGACUCCUACGGGAGGCAGCAGUGGGGAAGAUUGCACAAUGGGCGGAAGCCUGGUGCAGCAACGCCGCGUGCGGGAUGACGGCCUUCGGGUUGUAAACCGCUUUCGCCUGUGACGAAGCGUGAGUGACGGUAAUGGGUAAAGAAGCACCGGCUAACUACGUG